Molecule: ribosomal RNA, 271 nt
Filed under: uncultured bacterium
Lineage: Bacteria
Description: partial 16S ribosomal RNA
Rfam family: Bacterial small subunit ribosomal RNA
Source: RNAcentral
ACCCCUACGGGACGCAGCAGUGGGGAAUUUUGGACAAUGGGCGCAAGCCUGAUCCAGCUAUUCCGCGUGUGGGAUGAAGGCCCUCGGGUUGUAAACCACUUUUGUAGAGAACGAAAAGACACCUUCGAAUAAAGGGUGUUGCUGACGGUACUCUAAGAAUAAGCACCGGCUAACUACGUGCCAGCAGCCGCGGUAAUACGUAGGGUGCGAGCGUUAAUCGGAAUUACUGGGCGUAAAGGGUGCGCAGGCGGGUGUGUAAGACAAUUGUGGA